RNAcentral lists this microRNA precursor (142 nucleotides) under Gossypium hirsutum (cotton). RNAcentral's name for it is "MIR7502 microRNA precursor family". It matches the Rfam family "MIR7502 microRNA precursor family". Lineage: Eukaryota; Viridiplantae; Streptophyta; Magnoliopsida; Malvales; Malvaceae. The record is from Rfam by way of RNAcentral.
UGUUAACAAUUUCAUCCAUUUAUAUUGUUAAAAACUGAUAUGGCUGACAAAAUAAUCAAGCAAUAACACAUGGCAUGUCAUAUGUAUCUCAUGUUGAUGUACGAAGGUCAGUUUUAACAGCAAAAAUGGAUGAAAAUUAAUU